Molecule: ribosomal RNA, 933 nt
Filed under: uncultured bacterium
Lineage: Bacteria
Description: bacterial SSU rRNA
Rfam family: Bacterial small subunit ribosomal RNA
Source: RNAcentral
AGAGUUUGAUCCUGGCUCAGAACGAACGCUGGCGGCGUGCUUAACACAUGCAAGUCGAACGAGAAAGCUUCCUUCGGGAAGUAAGUAGAGUGGCGCACGGGUGAGUAACGCGUAGGUAAUCUACCCUUAUGACUGGGAUAACAUUGGGAAACUGGUGCUAAUACCGGAUACACUUCUUUACUGCGGGGUAAAGGAGGAAAGGUGGCCUCUUCAUGAAAGCUACCGUAUAGGGAUGAGCCUGCGUACCAUUAGCUAGUAGGCGGGGUAACGGCCCACCUAGGCAACGAUGGUUAGCGGGUCUGAGAGGAUGAUCCGCCACACUGGAACUGGAACACGGACCAGACUCCUACGGGAGGCAGCAGUGAGGAAUAUUGCGCAAUGGGGGAAACCCUGACGCAGCGACGCCGCGUGAGUGAGGAAGGUUUUCGGAUCGUAAAGCUCUGUCAGAAGGGAAGAAGUGUUAUAUGUUUAAUACGCAUAUAAUUUGACGGUACCUUCAGAGGAAGCACCGGCUAACUCCGUGCCAGCAGCCGCGGUAAUACGGAGGGUGCAAGCGUUGUUCGGAAUUACUGGGCGUAAAGGGCGCGUAGGCGGCUGGAUAAGUCAGAUGUGAAAGUCCAUGGCUCAACUGUGGAAGUGCAUUUGAAACUGUCCGGCUUGAGUAUCGGAGGGGAGUGUGGAAUUCCCGGUGUAGAGGUGAAAUUCGUAGAGAUCGGGAGGAACACCGGUGGCGAAGGCGACACUCUGGACGAAUACUGACGCUGAGGCGCGAAAGCGUGGGGAGCAAACAGGAUUAGAUACCCUGGUAGUCCACGCCGUAAACGAUGUGAACUAGGGAUAGGGGGUGUUGAUCCCUCCUGUCCCGCAGCUAACGCAUUAAGUUCACCGCCUGGGGAGUACGGUCGCAAGAUUAAAACUCAAAGGAAUUGACGG